Non-coding RNA from Misgurnus anguillicaudatus (oriental weatherfish), 968 nucleotides. Lineage: Eukaryota; Metazoa; Chordata; Actinopteri; Cypriniformes; Cobitidae. The record is from the annotation of a RefSeq genome assembly.
AAAUGAUUUUAAUAAGACACAGUCUGAUGAUCUGUGAAAAUAUACUACAGAUAAAUUUGCAUAGAGACUCUUUGCAUUGGAAAGACUUGAGGAUUUUUUAUAGACGCAUCAGAAGUUCAUCAUCAGAAAUCUAAACUCACAGUCACCAUGACCUUCAUCAGCAUCUUCAUCUGGAUGUUAACUUGUUUCUGUUUCAGAGAAUCAAGAGGUGAAGUGACCGUCAAAUCUGUUCAUCUACGAGACACAGUUACUAUCACCUGUAAAACUAACCCUGAAGUCUACCAGGGCUGGAGUGAUCAGCCUUUAUCCUGGUACUUACAGAAACCUGGAGAAGCUCCUAAACUCCUGAUAUAUUAUGCAAGCACACGCCAGUCUGGAACUCCAUCAAGAUUCAGUGGCAGUGGAUCAAAAACAGAUUUUACUCUGAGCAUCAGUGAAGUUCAGACUGAAGAUGAAGGAGUUUAUUACUGUCAGGGUAGACACAGUGGCAAUGUGUUCACACAGUGAUAAAGAGUCGUACAAAAACCUCCAUCAGUUAAAGAGGAACUGCAGACACACAGGACUGGUUUUGCACACAAACAGAAACACAAUCCUAUUUUUUAAAACUAAAGUCUGUAUAAAACCACUCAAGAUAAGAUAAAUCUCUGAUGAAUAUGACUUAUGAAAACUGAAACACAUCACAGAGGCCUAUAGACGUUUUUAUUGGAUGCACACUUGUUGCCAUUGUUAAGUGUCUGGCCCGAUGUUAACUUCCGGUCUGUGUUUGUUAACAGUCCUGCUAGCGGCAAAUCUGAAAUCUGGCACAAAUACCUUGUCAAAAAUAAAAGAUUACUAUGAAGUGAAUCAUACAAAACAUAGGAUUAUUAUAAAAAAACAAGAACAAAACCCCACCCUGACCCCGAUGUCACAGGGGCAAAAGCAAAUUGUACAAAAUGUGUCAUAGGUUCGGGAGGAGCCUAAAUAUUCAG